RNAcentral lists this transfer RNA (70 nucleotides) under Dipodomys ordii (Ord's kangaroo rat). It matches the Rfam family "tRNA". Rfam says of the family: Transfer RNA (tRNA) molecules are approximately 80 nucleotides in length. The record is from Rfam by way of RNAcentral. Lineage: Eukaryota; Metazoa; Chordata; Mammalia; Rodentia; Heteromyidae.
GGAAAUGUAGUUUAGUGGUAGAAUGCUUGCCUAGAAUGCAUGGUGCCCUGGGUUCAAUUCCUCAGUACCA